This 570-nucleotide ribosomal RNA is filed under the name Russula shafferi. RNAcentral's name for it is "eukaryotic LSU rRNA". The stretch from base 1 to 52 matches the Rfam family "Eukaryotic small subunit ribosomal RNA", at positions 1780 to 1831 of the family's 1831-position model. Lineage: Eukaryota; Fungi; Basidiomycota; Agaricomycetes; Russulales; Russulaceae. The record is from RNAcentral.
AAGUAAAAGUCGUAACAAGGUUUCCGUAGGUGAACCUGCGGAAGGAUCAUUAUCGUACAAUGGAGGUGCUGGGGUUGUCGCUGACUUUUGAAAGGGUCGUGCACACCUCGGUGCUCUCGCACAUAAUCCAUCUCACCCCUUUUGUGCAUCACCGCGUGGGGACCCCUUUUGGCUAGUUCUGAGGGGGGUUUUCACGUUUUUACACAGACACCCUUUUAAUGCAAUGUGGAGAAUUUGGCAUUCCGAGGGGCACACCCGUUUGAGUGUCGUGACAUCCUCAAAACCUUCUUGGUUUCUUGACCGGGAAGGCUUUUGGACUUUGGAGGCUUUUGCUGGCCUUCCUUUGUUGGAGCCAGCUCCUCUGAAAUGAAUUAGUGGGGUCUGCUUUGCCGAUCCUUGACGUGAUAAGAUGUUUUCUACGUCUUGGGUUUCGCACUGUUCGAUCUGGAUCCUGCUUCUAACUGUCUCAUAGAAGACAAUGGUCAAGUGAUUGCCACUUGACCCACAAACCUUGACCUCAAAUCGGGUGAGACUACCCGCUGAACUUAAGCAUAUCAAUAAGCGGAGGAA